This 161-nucleotide ribosomal RNA is filed under the name Rheum tanguticum. RNAcentral describes it as "5.8S ribosomal RNA". It matches the Rfam family "5.8S ribosomal RNA". From Rfam's summary of the family: 5.8S ribosomal RNA (5.8S rRNA) is a component of the large subunit of the eukaryotic ribosome. It is transcribed by RNA polymerase I as part of the 45S precursor that also contains 18S and 28S rRNA. Lineage: Eukaryota; Viridiplantae; Streptophyta; Magnoliopsida; Caryophyllales; Polygonaceae. The record is from RNAcentral.
AGAAUGACUCUCGGCAACGGAUAUCUCGACUCUUGCAUCGAUGAAGAACGUAGCGAAAUGCGAUACUUGGUGUGAAUUGUAAAAUCCCUUGAACCAUCGAGUCCUUGAAUGCAAGUUGCACCCGAAGCCUUCUGGCCGAGGGCACGUCUGUCUGGGCGUCA